GGACCCGCACAAGUAGUGGAGCAUGUGGUUUAAUUCGAAGAUACGCGCAGAACCUUACCAACACUUGACAUGUUCGUCGCGACUUUAAGAGAUUAAAGUUUUCGGUUCGGCCGGACGAAACACAGGUGCUGCAUGGCUGUCGUCAGCUCGUGUCGUGAGAUGUUGGUUAAGUCCCGCAACGAGCGCAACCCUCACUUUUAGUUGCCAUCAUUUAGUUGGGCACUCUGAAAGAACUGCCAGUGAUAAGCUGGAGGAAGGUGGGGAUGACGUCAAGUCCUCAUGGCCCUUACGUGUUGGGCUACACACGUGCUACAAUGGCCGGUACAGAGAGCAGCCACUACGCGAGUAGGAGCG
Molecule: ribosomal RNA, 354 nt
Filed under: uncultured bacterium
Lineage: Bacteria
Description: bacterial SSU rRNA
Rfam family: Bacterial small subunit ribosomal RNA
Source: RNAcentral